AGCAGCCGCGGUAAUUCCAGCUCCAAUAGCGUAUAUUAAAGUUGCUGCAGUUAAAAAGCUCGUAGUUGAAUUUCGGGAUCAAUAUGUCGGUCGUGCCUUGGUACGUACUGGUAUCAUUGGUCUCUCCUUUCUGACGAACCAUGAUGUCCUUAAUUUGGUGUUAUGGGAAGUUAGGACUGUUACUUUGAAAAAUUGAGUGUUUAAAGCAGGCUCACGCUUGAAUGCAUUAGCAUGGAAUAAUGAAAUAGGACGUUUGAUUCUAUUUUGUUGGUUUCUAGGAUCGACGUAAUGAUUAAUAGGGAUAGUUGGGGGCAUUAGUAUUCAAUUGUCAGAGGUGAAAUUCUUGGAUUUAUUGAAGACUAACUACUGCGAAAGCAUUUGCCAAGGAUGUUUUCAUUAAUCAAGAACGAAAGUUAGGGGAUCGAAGACGAUCAGAUACCGUCGUAGUCUUAACCAUAAACUAUGCCGAC
RNAcentral lists this ribosomal RNA (470 nucleotides) under uncultured Glomus. RNAcentral describes it as "SSU rRNA". It matches the Rfam family "Eukaryotic small subunit ribosomal RNA", at positions 569 to 1046 of the family's 1831-position model. The record is from RNAcentral. Lineage: Eukaryota; Fungi; Glomeromycota; Glomeromycetes; Glomerales; Glomeraceae.